CAACUGGACGCUGACCGCUGUGGGGCAAAAUCAGAUUGGCUGGAGAGAAAGGCCAUUUGCCCCGGGACUGGUGAACACCGUGUGUCCCGCCAAGGCAGGCACCGUGGCCUCUGCUCGGAGCCCCGCGGACAACGGGGCCAAGGGGAGACCCGGGCGUGUUCCGAGAGCUCUUGCUGUCCUAGGAGGCCGCGUCUCCAGGCAGAGCGUCCGCAGGGCCGGGGACAGUGCCGGCAGGGCUGGAGGACGGUGCCAGCAGGGCCGGGGACGGUGCCAGCAGGGCCGGGGAUGGUGCCGGCACGGCUGGGAGAUGGUGCCGGCACAUCAGUCACUGCUCUGGCAACGCCCCUGCCCUCCGCUCGGCUCCGUUACUUUUUAUUUAUUGUAAUGACUUCAGCAAUAAGAUUUGUUUCCCUGUUAUAUAUAUGACCAUGCAGAGUAACAAAAAACAUAAUAGCCAAGAAGAGUUACGCUUCUUAUUUAUCUCCUUGGCCGUUACUGGGCCGGGGGGAAGGGCGGGGAGCAGGGAGGAGCCGUAAAUAGAGGAGAACGCGCUUCCUGGGGAGGAAGCGUAUGGAGGCCCAUUUGCAAGAAGGUAGCAGGGCAAUGGGGCAACCGGGCCACCGACUCACUCACAAGGGCUAGGGCAGCUCAGAGGGAAGUGACCGAGGCAGAGGCCACCUGAGGCCAGGCCGGGGAGGGGGCCUGCAUCACCAACCAUUACAGGUCCUGCUCAUAGCUCCCACCUGGUGGGCAGAAGGUUCCAGAACCACAGAGCAUCAGGCCCUGGGUGGGGCAGUGCCCUCUGGCCUGCCGUGGAAGAGAGAGUCUCUGCUCCCACUGGCUGUAUUUCUCUGGAUCCCGAGGCUGGGGCGGAGUGGAGAAGGGACCUGGGCUUGGCACAGGCUGCACUGGCACAGGCUCCCUCAACAGCCCCAGAGGCGCCCUGAGGGAGGCUCUGGGCCCACCGUCGCCAGUUGCUAAGGGAGAGGAGCCGCAUCGUUCCGUCCACGCCAAUGGACCGACCACGUCUGUUUAAAGGAAAAGGGCGCUUGCUGCAGCCCACGUUCUAGGCGCCCUCGCCUGCUGCGUUUUCUGCACAAUUCGUUCAGGCCUGGGGCCACUCCAUCACGGCCAAGCACAAGGACGACCAGAGCUUUACCAAGAGUCUACUCAGAAGCCUUCCCUGCGGAAUCCUACCCACUCGGGGCUCAUCCAGGGACCUCUCUGAGACACCACACAUGGGAAGCAAGAAAGCGACCAUUUCCACAGCUCUGCUUGGCCGUGCAGAGCAGUGAGGGCCAUGGAAACGCAGGCACCAAGCCCGGCUCAGUCCUCAGCUUUGAACCUCGGGCAUUGAUGGUGAUGCUAAUCGUGAUCCGGCAAGUCACUUUGGCUCAGCAAGGUGGAGUGCACCGCGCACCCUCCAGAACCCGGACGCCGACCGCUCAUGGAGCCCACACGACUCCUGUGGCCUGGGCCCAGCCGCGAGGUACAGGCACAGCCCGCUGCCCCUUCGCAGCCUCUCUAGCCCCUUCCACCGGGAGGGGUCUUGCAAUGUCCUGCACCUCCCGGCCAGGAUCUGAGAACUCCUGAGCAACUCAGAAGGAAAGAGCUCAAGGCAGCACACAGCUCAGCACUUUUAGAUUAAAUUCGCGUCUGUCCUCCACACAGGAACCUGGGAACAAAAGCCGCGAGACGAGAACAUUCCUGCCGCCGUCCGGCUGUCAGGGAAGGCGCUGCAGCCUCCUGGGUGGCUGAGUGGGGCCAGGAGGCGGGGGACAGAGCCACAGCGCCUGGGUCACAUGUCUUUUCUCAUUGUCAUGAGGGAGCAAAGGGCGGAGACUGAAGACCCUGAGCCCACUCCUCACAGAGCCCCACGCACAGGGCAGAACCGCAGCCCUCUUUUCUCUUUUCAGUUAAUUUGUUUGAGAGAAAGAGAGAUUCCAUCUGCUGGUUCACU
Molecule: non-coding RNA, 1960 nt
Organism: Oryctolagus cuniculus (rabbit)
Lineage: Eukaryota; Metazoa; Chordata; Mammalia; Lagomorpha; Leporidae
Source: RefSeq, a predicted model, not a curated record